Prosopis cineraria is the source of this 2421-nucleotide RNA transcript. RefSeq lists it as uncharacterized. Lineage: Eukaryota; Viridiplantae; Streptophyta; Magnoliopsida; Fabales; Fabaceae. The transcript is spliced from 4 exons. The record is from RefSeq and is a predicted model, not a curated record.
UCGUUCACCUCACGCCAUUGUUUCCCGUCUAUGAUGAUCACUAUUUUGGGAAGACGCUUGCUCGACUGGCUCCGUAAUGGUUUUGUUUGGUCCAAGACUAACUUCUUCAUCUUGGGUUUAGUUUUUAGCUAUGCCUUGGUUAAGAAAGCAGUGGUGGACAUUUUGAUUGACUUCCUUACAGACGAAGGUCUAAGUCUGUGGCAAGCUGUUUUGGUUGUGCUUCUUCUAGAUUGGAUAUCAGCUGUGUUUAAAGUUGUUGUUACGCACGUAUCCGAAGUUUACUCAGGUCGCUUCAGCGUGAUUAUCUUCUGCACCGCAGUCUAUGCUAUGGUUGCACGAAGGAGGAAGACGAGUUGUAGACUCAGAUUGAAAACUGAUUUCACAGUCGAAGCUUUAGUGAAGAUGACCUCAAAUCAAAAUGAAAGAACUAAGGAAGGAAAGCACGAACGAAGAUUCUUCCUCAAACGCUCCAAUCAACAACGUCGCAUAGAAAAGAGAAGAAGAGCCUCGAUCUUAGACUGAAUGAAGAAGAGUCUCCCUAUCUCAGUCUCAGAUCGAUGGCAUCGCACGCAAGGUAGCCUGGUAGAAUGGAAGAAGGGUUUUUUGGGCAUCAGAAAUUUUUUCAGACUUCAUACCCAAUGACCCGUCGGAAUCGCUUUCGGUCUAAUUCUGGAUCUCUAAAAAUUGUCCGGUCCAAAGCGGUUCGAAACGGUCCAACUCACAUAACGGUCCAACGAGUUAAACCGAGCUGUCUUCAUGCCCAGGCAAUGGUCUUCAUGUCCAGGCAAUGGUUUGACACGUCCGAUUAGCCGGGGAUUGAUGCAAUUUUGGAUUUGCGCCAGGAAUUUAAAUCGCGGCACGUUGAUUUUUGCAGUUGUACUCACUGCGCUAGGCGAAGCCGGACAAGAGCCAGUUUUAGAAGAUUAUUUUGAUUAUCAACUAAGUGAAGAAGUAAGCAGAAAACGUACCCAAGAGGACAAUUUCAGCAGAACUACUUAUCAUUGGUGGCCAGCUGCUUCCUUUGUUGGCUCCGUUGUAGCUUUCAUCGCUUUGGGCCCAACUCUUUGGGAGGAAACUUUCCAAAUUUCGUCUUAUAUUAUGGCAAGUACGUAUUUGUUAUUCUUCUUGGGGAUUUUUUACUAUUAUCCUGAAGAAAGACCCUUAGCCUCAGAAGUCCUCUAACCACCACAUAUAGGGUCUUGAAGGCAGCUAUUAAGAAGCUUAGAUUGCCAUACCCUUCUUCAGAAGAGGGCUAUUACUCCAACAGUAACAAUGAAGAUUCAGAUGUUUCCCAAGAUUCAUUUUAUCUAAGGAAAAAUGGGGAGGUUCACUUGUUGCCUCGUGAUCCAUCAUGUUUGUCGUUCUUGGACAAGGCUGCUAUAAUUAGGAACAACUCCAAUGGUGAAAGGGAAGAGCGAAAUGGAGAGAUUUGUACGGUCGUUCAAGUGAGGGAUGUGAAGAGCCUUUAUCCUAUCAUACAGUGGGCGUAUUUGCUCUUCGCUUGCAGUUUGGUUUCAGCUUCUGGGAACACUUACUUUAUUCAGCAAGCUCAAAACUUGGAUUCUAAAGUUGGUGAUUUCCAUGUCUCUGUUGUUUUUUUCUUUGUACUAAAGUCUUUUGUUGUUCGUGUGGUCAGAAUAAUUCAAUCAAUAAAAGAACUGGUGAAACCAACUUGGAGUAUAGCUGUUGGGAUGUUUUGUUCAGUACUCUGCGGAAUUGCGGCCUGGCUGGUGGAACGUCAAAGGAAGCAUUUAACUCUAAAUGACCCACAAAAGAACAUUAUUUCCUUCAGCGUAAUGUGGUUAACUCCAUAAUUUUUCCUCUUAGGGCUAAUGGAAUCAUUUGUUGAAGAUGGACUAGUAAAUUUUGUGUGUUGUCAGGUGCCUGCAUCGAUGAGAACAUUUGUGGGUCCGUGCUCUGGAUUUCUCUUGGCAACUGAAAAGCUCUUCGGCUUACAAUUUGCAUAUUGUUUUGGGGUCUUGACCAAUGAAUCCAUGGAAACAAGUUGCUGGAUUGGUAUUUUCUGUUUCUGGCAGCACUCAGCUUGGGGUUCUUUUGCAUUUAUGUGAGUAUUAUUGUGUGUAUUCAUUCAUCCAAUUCAUUCCUCCACGAAGAAACAUGAAGUACGUGGUGAUGAGGGGUCAAAUUAAUAUAUUUGAAGAUCUUUUGAUAACUGUCGAAGACGCUUCUAAAGAUUAUGCAUCUCACAACAGAAGCAAGAAGGAUAAAUAGAUGAUCCAAAAAGAGGCUAGAUGAACUGAAUCUGUAAUUGUCACUUUACUCCAGUAUGAUGGUGAUACAGGUUACUUAUAGACACAAGUGAGUAAGUAUUUGGUAGAGAUAUAGGAUUAUAAUUAUGUAUAUGAUUAGUUACUCAGAAGGAUAAGGCCUGUGCACACUGUACUAUUUCUGUUCUCUCAA